RNAcentral lists this ribosomal RNA (884 nucleotides) under uncultured bacterium. RNAcentral describes it as "bacterial SSU rRNA". It matches the Rfam family "Bacterial small subunit ribosomal RNA", at positions 555 to 1433 of the family's 1533-position model. The record is from RNAcentral.
UGGGCGUAAGGGUGCGUAGGCGGUCGCGCAAGUCGGAUGUGAAAUCUCAGGGCUCAACCCUGAAACUGCAUUCGAUACUGCGUGGCUAGAGUGCUGGAGAGGAGACUGGAAUUUACGGUGUAGCAGUGAAAUGCGUAGAUAUCGUAAGGAAGACCAGUGGCGAAGGCGAGUCUCUGGACAGCAACUGACGCUGAGGCACGAAGGCCAGGGGAGCAAACGGGAUUAGAUACCCCGGUAGUCCUGGCAGUAAACGGUGCACGUUUGGUGUAGGCGGAUUCGACCCCGCCUGUGCCGGAGCUAACGCGUUAAACGUGCCGCCUGGGAAGUACGGUCGCAAGAUUAAAACUCAAAGAAAUUGACGGGGGCCCGCACAAGCGGUGGAGUAUGUGGCUUAAUUCGAUGCAACGCGAAGAACCUUACCAGGGUUUGGCAUGUAUUGUAACCCCAGUGAAAGCUGGGUAGCUGGGUUAAACCAGCGCUUUACACAGGUGCUGCAUGGCUGUCGUCAGCUCGUGUCGUGAGAUGUUGGGUUAAGUCCCGCAACGAGCGCAACCCCUGUGUCCUGUUGCCACUCCUUAAUUGGAAGCACUCUGGACAGACUGCCCUGUGAAACGGGGAGGAAGGUGGGGAUGACGUCAAGUCAGCAUGGCCCUUACACCCUGGGCUGCACACGUACUACAAUGCUCAGUACAAUAGGAGCCGAAACCGCGAGGUGGAGGAAAUCACUAAAACUGAGCCCAAUUCGGAUCGCAGGCUGCAACUCGCCUGCGUGAAGCCGGAAUCGCUAGUAAUGGCGCAUCAGCUACGGCGCCGUGAAUACGUUCCCGGGCCUUGUACACACCGCCCGUCACAUCAUGGGAGUCACUUGCACCCGAAGUGCACAA